GCUUGCUGCUCUGCUGACGAGUGGCGGACGGGUGAGUAAUGUCUGGGGAUCUGCCCGAUGGAGGGGGAUAACCACUGGAAACGGUGGCUAAUACCGCAUAACGUCGCAAGACCAAAGUGGGGGACCUUCGGGCCUCACACCAUCGGAUGAACCCAGAUGGGAUUAGCUAGUAGGUGGGGUAACGGCUCACCUAGGCGACGAUCCCUAGCUGGUCUGAGAGGAUGACCAGCCACACUGGAACUGAGACACGGUCCAGACUCCUACGGGAGGCAGCAGUGGGGAAUAUUGCACAAUGGGCGCAAGCCUGAUGCAGCCAUGCCGCGUGUAUGAAGAAGGCCUUCGGGUUGUAAAGUACUUUCAGCGGGGAGGAAGGGAGUGAGGCUAAUAACCUCAUUCAUUGACGUUACCCGCAGAAGAAGCACCGGCUAACUCCGUGCCAGCAGCCGCGGUAAUACGGAGGGUGCAAGCGUUAAUCGGAAUUACUGGGCGUAAAGCGCACGCAGGCGGUCUGUCAAGUCGGAUGUGAAAUCCCCGGGCUCAACCCGGGAACUGCAUUCGAAACUGGCAGGCUAGAGUCUCGUAGAGGGGGGUAGAAUUCCAGGUGUAGCGGUGAAAUGCGUAGAGAUCUGGAGGAAUACCGGUGGCGAACGCGGCCCCCUGGACGAACACUGACGCUCACGUGCGAAAGCGUGGGGAGCAU
RNAcentral lists this ribosomal RNA (700 nucleotides) under Erwinia sp. MOSEL-FLS4. Its description in RNAcentral is "bacterial SSU rRNA". It matches the Rfam family "Bacterial small subunit ribosomal RNA", at positions 78 to 771 of the family's 1533-position model. The record is from RNAcentral. Lineage: Bacteria; Pseudomonadati; Pseudomonadota; Gammaproteobacteria; Enterobacterales; Erwiniaceae.